UUAAACAGAUGUAUUACAAACUGAUUUUGAAAACAAUUAGUUCAGGAAAUUACGGGCAAGAUGGAAAAUCAUAGGGAAUCAACACUAAGUAAGGAAAGCAUCUUACAAACAAGGAAGUGAUGCAAAUUAGUAGAAAAUCUCCAAAGAAAUCAUAUACAAAAAAUAGGGAUUCGAAGAGACAUACAUAAUUGGCAGAACAUUUAGUAAAUAGAAACAUUAGUCUUAUUUAAACACAAUAGGCACAAAACCAAAGAACCCUAAGUAAGAAAUCAGAGAAUCAAUGGAACGUUAGAACAAAAUUAAAGCAUAGAAAUUGGGAAAUAACCUAGAAGAUCACACAAACAAGCAGAAGUACAGAAACAAACACAUAGUACUAGAAAACAUCAAAAGAUAUAGUGAUUUUGAAAGGGGUUUAGAAACCCUAGUUUUAAAAGAAGAAGAAAACGUUGAAAACUUGAGCAAUCGUAAAGAUCCAGUAAAGAGUAGUGUAAAACACAAAUGAAUAAGCUAAAUAUCAUUUUAAAAGAUAGAUAUUAAGAGUUCUAGGUAGAAAUUAGGAUUUCGUAAGAAACCAGUGUGAGGUAAGAAACCUGGCUGUGAAACUGGUUACUAAUGGUAUUCGUAGUACCAUCAGACCAAACACUAUCGAAUAAAGGCCGGAGAGAAGCCAGGCAAGGCCUCCGAUGACAAUGUUGCAUGGUGGAAGCCUAUGAAGUCCAGAUAUAGAGAGAAUCAAUAAGACACGGUUCCAUGGUGACUGGUGGUUGACAGAAGUGAGGGUGGAGGUGGCCGGAGAGGCGGUGGCUUCAUCAGAGAUGACAGAGAACGAGAAGAUUCUAGAGAGAAAAUG
Molecule: long non-coding RNA, 850 nt
Filed under: Nicotiana benthamiana
Lineage: Eukaryota; Viridiplantae; Streptophyta; Magnoliopsida; Solanales; Solanaceae
Description: long non-coding RNA (NBEN_LNC022394)
Source: RNAcentral